CCCUUAGAUGUUCUGGGCUGCACGCGCGCUACACUGAAGCGUUCAACGAGUAUUCACCUUGCCCGGGAGGGUUGGGUAAUCUUUUGAAAACGCUUCGUGAUGGGGGUAGAUUAUUGCAAUUAUUAAUCUUCAACGAGGAAUUCCUAGUAAGCGCGAGUCAUCAGCUCGUGCUGAUUACGUCCCUGCCCUUUGUACACACCGCCCGUCGCACCUACCGAUGAAUAGUCCGAUGAAAUUUCCGGAUUGCGGCCUUCGCGUGCUUGGCAACAAGUACGUGGCUGUCAAGAAGUUACUUGAAUCUUACCAUUUAGAGGAAGGUGAANUCGUAACA
This 331-nucleotide ribosomal RNA is filed under the name uncultured eukaryote. RNAcentral's name for it is "partial 18S ribosomal RNA". It matches the Rfam family "Eukaryotic small subunit ribosomal RNA", at positions 1470 to 1796 of the family's 1831-position model. The record is from RNAcentral.